CUGAGGAGCCAGUAGGCAGCAGGAAGUGGGAGAGAAGGAACUUCAGGAAGCCUGAUAUUUGCUAAAUGUCCCAAGGGGAUGGGGCUCAGCUUAAAAUUCAUUAGAAAAAAAACACAGCAAAGCGCCUGAGUCUGAGGAGUUUGGUGCUCUGUGGCAAUUCCUGCUGGAGCCUUCUUAAUUUCCUUGAUAACUGAGGGUCACCGACGAUGGGCACGUCCUCUUCUGGGGCCCGGCUGUAAUGGACGGGGUCCAAACUCUUCAGAUUCCCUGCCCCAUGCCUGGCUCUCCAACCCCACUCCUCACCUCGCUUGUGGCCCACCGCGCCCCAGCCAAGCCCAGCGACACAAGUAACCUAAGCCAGCUGCCUUGUGCCUGCCAGACUUCGCCCAGGACCACGGCCCUUCCCCGGAGCUCUCCUCAACUAACUGUACGCCUCCCUCAUGUUCCCAUCCUAUCUGCCUUUCAGCAAUAAGCUCGGUUAAGAACCCCUUU
Long non-coding RNA from Herpailurus yagouaroundi (jaguarundi), 492 nucleotides. RefSeq lists it as uncharacterized. NCBI's taxonomy places the organism in Eukaryota, Metazoa, Chordata, Mammalia, Carnivora, Felidae. The transcript has 3 exons. The record is from RefSeq and is a predicted model, not a curated record.